CUAUUUUCAAUGGUUAUCAUUUUU
Molecule: small nuclear RNA, 24 nt
Filed under: Arabidopsis thaliana (thale cress)
Lineage: Eukaryota; Viridiplantae; Streptophyta; Magnoliopsida; Brassicales; Brassicaceae
Description: snRNA_15472
Source: RNAcentral